This 239-nucleotide ribosomal RNA is filed under the name uncultured bacterium. RNAcentral describes it as "partial 16S ribosomal RNA". It matches the Rfam family "Bacterial small subunit ribosomal RNA", at positions 524 to 757 of the family's 1533-position model. The record is from RNAcentral.
UACGUAGGGUGCAAGCGUUAAUCGGAAUUACUGGGCGUAAAGCGUGCGCAGGCGGUUCGCUAAGACAGAUGUGAAAUCCCCCGGGCUUAACCUGGGAACUGCAUUUUGUGACUGGCGGGCUAGAGUAUGGCAGAGGGGGGGUAGAAUUCCACGUGUAGCAGUGAAAUGCGUAGAGAUGUGGAGGAAUACCGAUGGCGAAGGCAGCCCCCUGGGCCCAAUACUGACGCUCAUGCCACGAA